UGAAUUACUGAUACCAGUUCAAAUCGGGUCUAAUGCACACAACCAUAUAGCCAAAAAGAAGAUAGAGCCAGACUCAACUCAAGCCUUGAGCCAUAUAGAUGAUUAGUACACUACAAUGAUGCAAGAGUUGAUCCAAAAAACCAAAUGAAUGCUAAUAGACUUGCAAUUCGUCACUCAAGCAGUUACUUUGGUGACUCCAGUCUUUAGCUUUCACAAAUAGCGCCUGCAUAUUAUAAAUUUUGGUCUCAACCGUCAGAUUCUUCUCGUUCGGAAACCUAGCUUCUUUUUCAUGUGAUCUGGGCAACAUCAACUCCACUGGAUGUUUUAUUUCAUUUAUGAAUGUUGCCGGCCUUGCUUUUCUCAUACCUGAUGAUAGUAAAUAAUUUCUUACUCUUGGAUUCAUCAGAUACUUUUGGCUUUAACACUGUUACAAUGUUGGGUGCCUCUGGCUUCAUUGCAUAAGCAUGACGGCUGUCAGUCAUCUUAGGCUUCAAGAAUCUUCUGAUAGUAUCACUUGUAACACCAGUGUUCUCCUUCUUGGGUUUAGACAAUGGAGACACUGACCCCAGUCAUCUUAGGCCCCAAGAAUCUUCUGAUAGUAUCACUUGUAACACCAGUGUUCUUCUUGGGUUUAGACAAUGGAGAUACUGACCCAACUCAUCCUGUUUCCAGCCUAGUGGCUUCCAGUAUUUGAUUAAUUUGCUGGAUUUGGAUUUGUGAGAAUCAGUGGAGCCAAACACGGAUGCAGAUUUGGGGGGAACCUUUGUCGAGGAGAUGAACUUUGCUGAAUCACUUGGUUUCCUGGUUUCUACAAGGCACAUUGUGACUGAGCAAGGAUGCUACCACCUCUAGCAGCAAGAAUCAGUGGAGCCAAACAUGGAUGCAGAUUUGGGGGGAACCUUUGUCGAGGAGAUGAACUUUGCUGAAUCACUGGGUUUCCUAGUUUCUACGAGGCACAUUGUGACUGAGCAAGGAUGCUACCACCUCUAGCAGCAAUAUUCUAUUGCGCCUGCGUCCUAGGAGGUUCCAGUCAUUUGAUGUAUUAUCCUUCCUCAAGACCAAAAGUCCAGAGCUAUAAUAUUCCUAUGAACAAAGCAGAUGAAACAAAAUGAAACUUCUGAAUUAAAACUUCCAACAUAAACCCUAUGUAAACAGACACAAACACAAGAAACUAUGCAUAUAUGGUACAACAUGAAACAAAUAUGGUGAGACUACAAAUCAAUAACACAACGACUAACCCUCUCUUCCAUCAUGCAAAUUUGCAUCUUCCCCAUCAGGCUGAUUGAAAUUCUCCAUUUGAAGACAUCUUCCAGUUUGAUGUGAUAUAUAGAUACGAAUUACUAAACUAAAACGGAGAACUAGACCAAAAUCAGAAUCUAUGAAUGGCAGAGAACUGAGUCUGGUUGGUUAGACAUUGCUUUAUCUGCUUCAAUGUCAAGGCAUGGCUUGUUUUGUGCUUUCGCUUCCACAAUUUCUUAUGCCUUAUUCAAGCAUCAUCAUAACAUUGAUAAAUUUAACAUCAC
RNAcentral lists this long non-coding RNA (1523 nucleotides) under Fragaria vesca (wild strawberry). RNAcentral describes it as "long non-coding RNA (FVES_LNC003430)". Lineage: Eukaryota; Viridiplantae; Streptophyta; Magnoliopsida; Rosales; Rosaceae. The record is from RNAcentral.